GAGCAAUACCGCGUGAGGGAGGAAGGCCUUUGGGUUGUAAACCUCUUUUCUGGGGGAAGAAGCAAGUGACGGUACCCCAGGAAUCAGCAUCGGCUAACUCCGUGCCAGCAGCCGCGGUAAUACGGAGGAUGCAAGCGUUAUCCGGAAUUAUUGGGCGUAAAGCGUCCGCAGGUGGUCCAUCAAGUCUGCUGUCAAAGACCGGAGCUCAACUCCGGGCAGGCAGUGGAAACUGGUGAACUAGAGUACGGUAGGGGUAGAGGGAAUUCCCAGUGUAGCGGUGAAAUGCGUAGAGAUUGGGAAGAACACCAGUGGCGAAGGCGCUCUACUGGGCCGUAACUGACGCUCAGGGACGAAAGCUAGGGGAGCGAAAGGGAUUAGAUACCCCUGUAGUCCUAGCUGUAAACGAUGGAUACUAGGCGUUGCUUGUAUCGACCCGAGCAGUGCCGUAGCUAACGCGUUAAGUAUCCCGCCUGGGGAGUACGCACGCAAGUGUGAAACUCAAAGGAAUUGACGGGGGCCCGCACAAGCGGUGGAGUAUGUGGUUUAAUUCGAUGCAACGCGAAGAACCUUACCGGGGCUUGACAUGUCCGGAAUCUCGGGGAAACUCGAGAGUGCCUUCGGGAGCCGGAACACAGGUGGUGCAUGGCUGUCGUCAGCUCGUGUCGUGAGAUGUUGGGUUAAGUCCCGCAACGAGCGCAACCCUCGUCCUUAGUUGCCAGCCUUAAGUGGGGCACUCUAGGGAGACUGCCGGUGACAAACCGGAGGAAGGUGGGGAUGACGUCAAGUCAGCAUGCCCCUUACGUCCUGGGCGACACACGUACUACAAUGGUCGGGACAAAGGGCAGCGAACUCGCGAGAGUAAGCGAAUCUCAGCAAACCCGGCCUCAGUUCAGAUUGCAGGCUGCAACUCGCCUGCAUGAAGGAGGAAUCGCUAGUAAUCGCAGGUCAGCAUACUGCGGUGAAUUCGUUCCCGGGCCUUGUACACACCGCCCGUCACACCAUGGAAGCUGGCCACGCCCGAAGUCGUUACCCUAACCUUUAGGGGAGGGGGACGCCGAAGGCAGGGCUAGUGACUGGGGUGAAGUCGUAACAAGGUAGCCGUACCGGAAGGUG
This 1113-nucleotide ribosomal RNA is filed under the name uncultured cyanobacterium. RNAcentral's name for it is "bacterial SSU rRNA". It matches the Rfam family "Bacterial small subunit ribosomal RNA", at positions 389 to 1514 of the family's 1533-position model. Lineage: Bacteria; Bacillati; Cyanobacteriota. The record is from RNAcentral.